UACGUAGGGGGCGAGCGUUGUCCGGAUUCACUGGGUGUAAAGGGCGCGUAGGCGGGUUUGUAAGUCAGGGGUGAAAUCUCACGGCUUAACUGUGAAACUGCCUCUGAUACUGCAAAUCUUGAGUUCGGAAGAGAGUAGCGGAAUUCCAGGUGUAGUGGUGAAAUACGUAGAUAUCUGGAAGAACACCAGUGGCGAAGGCGGCUACUUGGUCCGUAACUGACGCUGAGGCGCGAAAGCGUGGGGAGCAAACAGG
This 253-nucleotide ribosomal RNA is filed under the name uncultured bacterium. RNAcentral's name for it is "partial 16S ribosomal RNA". It matches the Rfam family "Bacterial small subunit ribosomal RNA", at positions 524 to 776 of the family's 1533-position model. The record is from RNAcentral.